GACCCUUUCUUCUCCCUUUUAAACAUUCUUUAUGCAUCUCUAGCACUUGUAAUCAAUCAAAUUCAAUGUAUUAUAACAUAUUCUAACCCAACAUAACUUUAUACAAGCCAUUCACUGCCUCAAAGCAAUGGUUUUGGGUUCUUAUCCCAUUUGGGACCAAAUAUCAACAGGUAUUUCUUCUCACUUUUAAACAUUCUUCAUGCAUCUCUAGCACUUGUAAUCAAUCAAAUUCAAUGUAUUAUAAC
This 245-nucleotide long non-coding RNA is filed under the name Capsella rubella. RNAcentral describes it as "long non-coding RNA (CRUB_LNC000003)". Lineage: Eukaryota; Viridiplantae; Streptophyta; Magnoliopsida; Brassicales; Brassicaceae. The record is from RNAcentral.